UAGCUUUGUUCCCUCACUCUGUCAAUAUUUCAUACUCUAAGCAAUCUCUAUAAAUUAAAGGAAUAAUUUUAGGCUCUCAAAUUCAAAUUGGAGUUCAACCCACUCUCUGUUUCUGGAUAAGAAGGUUCGAUUGCAUUCAGAACUUGGUCUGUGAUAUUUUCUUCGUGGGAUUUGGAUUUGGAAACUAGUGGACUCUACCUUAGAAACAUCGGGUCCAGUGGCACCCACCACCUCGGUGGUAAUCCGGAAGAUCGUUACGGCAACGAUGGCUGGUAACCAGAACUACCUUGACGGUGGCUUUGGCCAUGGAUAGUAAAGUGAAAUUUAUUUAUGGCUCUAAAUCGUGUUUGAACAGUAUUUUCAAUACGAAGAGAAGUUGCAACAGUAAGCCGGGCAGAGCUUACGGAAGCCUCUUAGCGCUAUGAAAGUUAGUAUGUUGUUAAGCUUAUGAUAUUGUAUAUCAUGGGGUACCUGGGUAGUUUAGUUUACUUGCCUUGAUCCUAUGUCAUUUUUAUACAUUUUGCUGUUAUCACUGGGAUCUUGUACAUGAUCUUUAUAUGGUUUGUUACUGAAAACUGGUCGAUUUCUCAUACGAUGGGUCUGGUAUUGGGUGUUUGCAACAGAGCUUUUGUAUCUCUCUUGUUUUCAGACGCCUAUGUAUUUCGUAGACGUACUUAUAUAUGUUAUCAUGCUCGGAGAUUCCUUUUUGUACCUUAUCUCUUAAAUUAUGACCUUUGAAAUUUUCUGUGUGUAAACUAAACUUAGAUUUGGGUGCUUGAAAUGUUUAGGUGUGCUUAAUAAUUGUUUUGAACUUGAGCAUUUUUCAUUAAAAAUUGGGAGGGUGGUGUAGACUCUUAAAUACAUUUGAUUAUGCUAAGUUUAAGUUUAAUUGUCUUGUUUCCAUAUGAUUUCUUUAGCUUGAAGUUGUUAGUGGGCACAGUACUAUACCACCUGA
Molecule: long non-coding RNA, 955 nt
Organism: Papaver somniferum (opium poppy)
Lineage: Eukaryota; Viridiplantae; Streptophyta; Magnoliopsida; Ranunculales; Papaveraceae
Exons: 3
Source: RefSeq, a predicted model, not a curated record